Molecule: ribosomal RNA, 621 nt
Filed under: uncultured marine eukaryote
Lineage: Eukaryota
Description: SSU rRNA
Rfam family: Eukaryotic small subunit ribosomal RNA
Source: RNAcentral
GUUAAAAAGCUCGUAGUCGGAUUUUGGCCGAGAACGGUCGGUCCGCCGUUAGGUGUGCACUGACUGGUCUCAGCUUCCUGGUGAGGAGGUGUGCUUCAUCGCCACUUAGUCACCGUGGUUACUUUGAAAAAAUUAGAGUGUUCAAAGCGGGCUUACGCUUGAAUAUAUUAGCAUGGAAUAACACCAUAGGACUCCUGUCCUAUUUCGUUGGUCUCGGGACGGGAGUAAUGAUUAAGAGGAACAGUUGGGGGCAUUCGUAUUUCAUUGUCAGAGGUGAAAUUCUUGGAUUUAUGAAAGACGAACUUCUGCGAAAGCAUUUGCCAAGGAUGUUUUCAUUGAUCAAGAACGAAAGUUGGGGGCUCGAAGAUGAUUAGAUACCAUCCUAGUCUCAACCAUAAACGAUGCCGACUAGGGAUUGGCGGAUGUUAAUUGAUGACUUCGCCAGCACCUUAUGAGAAAUCAAAGUUUUUGGGUUCCGGGGGGAGUAUGGUCGCAAGGCUGAAACUUAAAGGAAUUGACGGAAGGGCACCACCAGGCGUGGAGCCUGCGGCUUAAUUUGACUCAACACGGGGAAACUUACCAGGUCCAGACAUAGUAAGGAUUGACAGAUUGAGAGCUCUU